UUUUAUAAUAAAAUUUACUAUAAUUUUAUUAUUAUAAUAAUUUUUAAUAAAUCAUUUUAUUGUUUAUGUAUUUGUUAAAGAUAAAAUUUUUUUUUGUAAUAAUUUAUUAGUACUGUGAAGGAAUAUAAAUAUUUAAAUUAUUUUGUAAGUAGAAUUUAUUUUUUGUACCUUGUGUAUCAGGAUUUAUUAAUAAUAAAUUAUUUAAUUUAAAUUUCUCGAUUCUUUUAGAGUUAAUAAUUUAUAUUAAUUAUUGUAAUAAAAAUAUUUAUAAUAAUUUAUUGGUAAUGAUAUGUUAUUCGUUAAAGGAUAUAUCUAGUUUUUUAGGAAAUAAAUUUAAUUUAAAUUCUUCCUUUAAUUAUUUAAUUUAAAAAUUUUAUUUUAGGUAGAAUUAAUAAUAGUAAGGAUAAGCUUAUUAUUAAAUAUUUAUGGAAAAUUAUUUAAUUAAUAAAUAAUAUAAAUUUAGAAAUGAUUUUUAUUAUGAAUAUGUUAAAAUUUUAUUUUGUUAAUAUAACAAUUUUUUUUUUUCUUAAUUUUUUACUAAGAAUUUUUAAUUAAUUUUUAUAUAAUUUUAAUUAUGAUAGAAUUAGUAUAUUAUAAUUUAUAAAAUUUUGUUUAUGAAAUAUAAUUUUGGGGAAUUAGGCAAAUAAGUUAUUCGCCUGUUUAACAAAAACAUCGUUUCUUGUUUAAAUAAGAAAUAUAACCUGCCCAAUGAUAAUUUUAAUGGCCGCGGUAUACUGACCGUGCAAAGGUAGCAUAAUCAUUAGUCUUUUAAUUGAAGGCUGGAAUGAAUGGUUUGACGAGAUAACAACUAUCUUAUUAUUAUAAAGUUGAAUUUAAUUUUUAAGUAAAAAAGCUUAAAUUUAUUUUUGGGACGAGAAGACCCUAUAGAAUUUAAUAAUAUUAAUAAUUAUUUAUAUUUGUUAAUUAAAAAAGUUUUAAUAAUAUUUUGUUGGGGUGAUGAAAAGAUAAAAAUAACUCUUUAAUCUAUUAAUUAUAAAUUUAUAUAUUUUUGAUCCACUUUUAGUGAUUAUAAGACUAAAUUACCUUAGGGAUAACAGCGUAAUCUUUUUUGAGAGUUCAUAUCGACAAAAGGGGUUGCGACCUCGAUGUUGGAUUAAGAUUAUCUUUAGGUGUAGCAGCUUAAAAAUUAAGUCUGUUCGACUUUUAAAAUCUUACAUGAUCUGAGUUCAAACCGGCGUGAGCCAGGUUGGUUUCUAUCUAAUAUAAAAAUAAAUAUUUUAGUACGAAAGGACCAAAUAUUUAAAAUAAUUUUUAUUGUUUGAUUAUUAUUA
Molecule: ribosomal RNA, 1292 nt
Filed under: Rhabdoblatta saussurei
Lineage: Eukaryota; Metazoa; Arthropoda; Insecta; Blattodea; Blaberidae
Description: 16S ribosomal RNA
Rfam family: Archaeal large subunit ribosomal RNA (bases 1051-1209)
Source: RNAcentral